Dendrobium catenatum is the source of this 1172-nucleotide RNA transcript. It is a transcript of the gene named B3 domain-containing protein Os04g0386900, with no coding region annotated. The transcript has 5 exons. The record is from RefSeq and is a predicted model, not a curated record. Lineage: Eukaryota; Viridiplantae; Streptophyta; Magnoliopsida; Asparagales; Orchidaceae.
CAAAAAAAUGAAAUAUUUGGCCCAUUAUGACGCCAGCACCACUUCCGAUAGGAUUUUCCGGUUGGAUCCCGAACCCGACGGGUUUCCACAAUGCAAAACGUUUAGUGGAAAAUAGGACGAAGCUUGAUGUAUAGGACUUCUGUGAGUCUGUGACCGGCGAACUCCGCGGACGACGAAGGAAAUUGUUACUGAAAGUGACUAGCGGCCGCUCAGACGCUCCCUUGUGCCUAACUGUUGUUUCCUCUUGCUUGUGGUCUCCUCUUAUUCUUUCCGGUCACUCAAUGUCGAAUACUUCAGAUAAGGAAUCCAUCAACCAACCUAGUUUAUGUGAAAACCUUCUCCAAGAGCAGAGUCUCUCAACCCUGGAAUCGAACAAUGCAGCUGAUAUAAAACACAUUUCAGAAUGUGAAAACAAAAUCAUCAGUUAUAUUUGAAGGGUUUCUAAUUACAACCAAACAAGUAAGAGGUUGAGUAUUUCAAGAAUAUAAAGGAGAUUCUUCCUUUGAAUCAGAAGGUGAUAAUCUCCAUGAAAAUGACAUGCAGUUCCUAAUUCUGCAUCCAGAACUCAAGUACCCAACAAAUUAACAUUCGAUAGCAAAAUCCAACCUCUUAUGGGAAGUCCAUACUUCAUAUCCAUCAUGGCAAAGUCACAUGUUCAAUUGCCAUAUCAACUGGUUGUCCCAACUCAUUUCCACAAAGCUCUUCCACUUUCUACUGUUCAGGGAAUCCUUCAAUGCCGAGGUAAUACAUGGCAAAUAAGAUACUGUGGUGAUUCCCCCUUGAGAAGAUUUAGUUGUGGAUGGCGUAAGUUUGUAGAGGACAACGAAUUGCAGGUGGGAGAUGGAUGUGUUUUUGAGCUUAUGGAUGAUAAGGAGCUGACGUUCCGUGUGCAGAUCCUUGAUGGGCAAAUCCCCUCUAAGUUUUUCAAAAAAGGGAGCUUGGAUCGACCAAUCAAUAUUGAUUAACUAAUGUUUCCUGAGGUUUCGGAGUAUCUUAAAAGCUAUGGUUGGCGCUGUUAUGUAUGCUGUUUCUGAACUUGUUUAAUUUAAGAUUUGCAUAAGGGAGACAAAUCUGUGUAUUUUACAUGAUUAUUAAUCUCAUUGCUUCUGAAUUAUUUGUAAAAUAAUUACAGUGAUUGCAUUUAGUUCUGUUAAAGUUUUUAUGCGCCAAAA